This 254-nucleotide ribosomal RNA is filed under the name uncultured bacterium. RNAcentral's name for it is "partial 16S ribosomal RNA". It matches the Rfam family "Bacterial small subunit ribosomal RNA", at positions 524 to 776 of the family's 1533-position model. The record is from RNAcentral.
UACGUAGGGUGCGAGCGUUAAUCGGAAUUACUGGGCGUAAAGGGUGCGCAGGCGGUCUCGUAAGCUGGGUGUGAAAGCCCCGGGCUUAACCUGGGAAUGGCAUUCAGUACUGCGAGGCUUUGAGUGUGGCAGAGGGAGGUGGAAUUCCACGUGUAGCAGUGAAAUGCGUAGAGAUGUGGAGGAACACCGAUGGCGAGGGCAGCCUCCUGGGCAAGCACUGACGCUCAUGCACGAAAGCGUGGGGAGCAAACAGG